CCCAUUUUUAUUGCCAUUGAACACAAAAUUUGAAUUGAAUUUCAGUAAAAAUCAACAAUGAAAUGAAUAGUCCAUUAGCUAAUAUGAUCCUUUAGUAAUGAUAGACAAAUACAAAAUGUGUAAAUUAUAUGCUAUCAUCAGCUAGAUUUUCCAGUGUUUCGAACGACACCAGAAACAACAUUUUUAAUGUCUUUUUAAUUAAUAUUCAAAUUUUCCACUUUUUUAAGACACUUUUCUUUUAUUGAAAAGGAAGUUAUCAUGGUGUUUAGUUGCUUAGGACCAAUUAUUAUAUUUGCAUGAUCAGACUCCUCCACACAGUUGUAGCAUUUAGUCAUUUUCGGUUUCCAUUU
RNAcentral lists this long non-coding RNA (350 nucleotides) under Mytilus galloprovincialis (Mediterranean mussel). The record is from RNAcentral. Lineage: Eukaryota; Metazoa; Mollusca; Bivalvia; Mytilida; Mytilidae.